This 492-nucleotide ribosomal RNA is filed under the name uncultured bacterium. RNAcentral describes it as "partial 16S ribosomal RNA". It matches the Rfam family "Bacterial small subunit ribosomal RNA", at positions 29 to 507 of the family's 1533-position model. The record is from RNAcentral.
AGUGAACGCUGGCGGUAGGCCUAACACAUGCAAGUCGAACGGCAGCACAGUAAGAGCUUGCUCUUACGGGUGGCGACUGGCGGACGGGUGAGGAAUACAUCGGCAUCUACUUUUUCGUGGGGGAUAACGUAGAGAAACUUACGCUACUACCGCAUACGACCUACGGGUGAAAGCAGAGGAUCUUCGGACCUUGCGCGAUUCAAUGAGCCGAUGCCGGAUUAGCUAGUUGGCGGGGUAAAGGCCCACCAAGGCGACGAUCCGUAGCUGGUCUGAGAGGAUGAUCAGCCACACUGGAACUGAGACACGGCCCAGACUCCUACGGGAGGCAGCAGUGGGGAAUAUUGGACAAUGGGCGCAAGCCUGAUCCAGCCAUACCGCGUGGGUGAAGAAGGCCUUCGGGUUGUAAAGCCCUUUUGUUGGGAAAGAAAAGCAGCAGGUUAAUACCCCGCUGUUCUGACGGUACCCAAAGAAUAAGCACCGGCCAACUUCGUG